This 216-nucleotide long non-coding RNA is filed under the name Nicotiana benthamiana. RNAcentral's name for it is "long non-coding RNA (NBEN_LNC041491)". Lineage: Eukaryota; Viridiplantae; Streptophyta; Magnoliopsida; Solanales; Solanaceae. The record is from RNAcentral.
GAAAGCAUCAAUUACAGUGAAUACUCAAACUGUUUAUAAUGCUUAUAAACAGACGUUAGAGCAUGCUAGGCCUAAUAUCCCAACCCCUACUUCGUCCACGUCACAGGCGUCUAAAAGAGCUGCUGGAUUAACAGCUCUUAAAUCGUGGACGGAGUUAAGGAGUUCAGGGGUACUUUUGGAAAAAUCAGUGCUUUUUCGAGAUUGGAUCCGCGCAGA